RNAcentral lists this ribosomal RNA (253 nucleotides) under uncultured bacterium. RNAcentral describes it as "partial 16S ribosomal RNA". It matches the Rfam family "Bacterial small subunit ribosomal RNA", at positions 524 to 776 of the family's 1533-position model. The record is from RNAcentral.
UACGUAGGGUGCAAGCGUUGUUCGGAAUCAUUGGGCGUAAAGCGCGUGUAGGCGGUUAGGUAAGUCGAUUGUGAAAUCCCUGGGCUCAACCGAGGAAGUGCAGUCGAAACUGCUUAGCUGGAGGACGGUAGAGGAAGGUGGAAUUCCUAGUGUAGAGGUGAAAUUCGUAGAUAUUAGGAGGAAUACCGGUGGCGAAGGCGGCCUUCUGGGCCGUUCCUGACGCUGAGACGCGAAAGCGUGGGGAGCAAACAGG